AUUGAACGCUGGCGGCAUGCCUUACACAUGCAAAUCGAACGGUAACGGGCCUUCGGGUGCCGACGAGUGGCGAACGGGUGAGUAAUACAUCGGAACGUGCCCGAUCGUGGGGGAUAACGAGGCGAGAGCUUUGCUAAUACCGCAUACGAUCUACAGAUGAAAGCAGGGGACCGCAAGGCCUUGCGCGGACGGAGCGGCCGAUGGCAGAUUAGGUAGUUGGUGGGAUAAAAGCUUACCAAGCCGACGAUCUGUAGCUGGUCUGAGAGGAUGAUCAGCCACACUGGGACUGAGACACGGCCCAGACUCCUACGGGAGGCAGCAGUGGGGAAUUUUGGACAAUGGGCGCAAGCCUGAUCCAGCCAUGCCGCGUGCAGGAUGAAGGCCUUCGGGUUGUAAACUGAUUUUGUACGGAACGAAAAGCCUUCUUUUAAUACAGGAGGGUCAUGACGGUACCGUAAGAAUAAGCACCGGCUAACUACGUG
RNAcentral lists this ribosomal RNA (482 nucleotides) under uncultured bacterium. RNAcentral describes it as "partial 16S ribosomal RNA". It matches the Rfam family "Bacterial small subunit ribosomal RNA", at positions 30 to 507 of the family's 1533-position model. The record is from RNAcentral.